Molecule: ribosomal RNA, 460 nt
Filed under: uncultured bacterium
Lineage: Bacteria
Description: partial 16S ribosomal RNA
Rfam family: Bacterial small subunit ribosomal RNA
Source: RNAcentral
CCUACGGGAGGCUGCAGUGAGGAAUAUUGGUCAAUGGCCGGAAGGCUGAACCAGCCAAGCCGCGUGAAGGUCAGCGCCCCAUGGGCGUUAAACUUCCUUUGUGCGGGAGCAAUAAUGGUCACGUGUGGCCAGACGAGAGUACCGUACGAAUAAGCAUCGGCUAACUUCGUGCCAGCAGCCGCGGGAAUACGGGGGAUGCAAGCGUUAUCCGGAUUUAUUGGGUUUAAAGGGUGCGUAGGCUGGUGUGUAAGUCAGCGGGGAAAUGCCCCCGGUCAACGGGGUGAAGUGCCAUUGAUACUGGCGUGCUGGAAUGCGGAUGCAGUUGGAGGAAUGUGUGGUGUAGCGGUGAAAUGCAUAGAUAUCACACAGAACACCGAUUGCGAAGGCAUCUCACGAAUCCGCGAUUGACGCUGAUGCACGAAAGCGUGGGUAUCAAACAGGAUUAGAUACCCGGGUAGUC